ACAUGCGGCCAUACCGGCUUGUCAAAGCCAGAUCUCUUCAGGUCUCAGAAGCUAAGCAAGGCUGGGCCUGGUUAGUACUUGGAUGGGAAACCGCUGGAAAUACCAUGUGCCACAGUG
RNAcentral lists this ribosomal RNA (117 nucleotides) under Periophthalmus magnuspinnatus. The record is from RNAcentral. Lineage: Eukaryota; Metazoa; Chordata; Actinopteri; Gobiiformes; Gobiidae.